CCUACGGGAGGCAGCAGUAGGGAAUUUUCCGCAAUGGGCGAAAGCCAGACGGAGCGACGCCACGUCUGAUGACGAAGGCCUUCGGGUCGUAAAAUCCUGUCAGGGGGGACGAUGGUUGAUCUUCGGAUUGAAUGAACGGUACCCCCAGAGGNNCUCCGGCCAA
RNAcentral lists this ribosomal RNA (163 nucleotides) under uncultured bacterium. RNAcentral describes it as "partial 16S ribosomal RNA". It matches the Rfam family "Bacterial small subunit ribosomal RNA", at positions 338 to 500 of the family's 1533-position model. The record is from RNAcentral.